CAAUGUGCGAAAGCACGAUGAGGGGAUCCCAAGUGCUGGCACGUAAGUGUCAGCUGUUUCUUAGUCUAAAAAACUGAGAGAGUAAGGGCUGGGUAAGACGGGUGCCAGCCGCCGCGGUAAUACCUGCAGCUCAAGUGGUGGCCGCUAUUAUUGGGCCUAAAACGUCCGUAGCCUGUUUAGUAAAUGCUUGGGUAAAUUGUGUAGCUUAACUAUACGAAUACCGGGUAGACUGCUAAACUUGGGACCGGGAGAGGCUAGAGGUACUCCUGGGGUAGAGGUGAAAUUCUGUAAUCCUAGGGGGACCACCAGUGGCGAAGGCGUCUAGCUAGAACGGGUCUGACGGUGAGGGACGAAGCCCUGGGGCGCAAACCGGAUUAGAUACCCGGGUAGUCCAGGGUGUAAACGCUGCUUGCUUGAUGUUAGUUGGGCUCCGAGCCCAACUAGUGUCGGAGAGAAGUUGUUAAGCAAGCUGCCUGGGAAGUACGGUCGCAAGACUG
RNAcentral lists this ribosomal RNA (497 nucleotides) under uncultured archaeon 63-A18. RNAcentral's name for it is "bacterial SSU rRNA". It matches the Rfam family "Archaeal small subunit ribosomal RNA", at positions 353 to 851 of the family's 1478-position model. The record is from RNAcentral.